This 614-nucleotide long non-coding RNA is filed under the name Gallus gallus (chicken). RNAcentral describes it as "lncRNA (ENSGALG00010026222.1)". Lineage: Eukaryota; Metazoa; Chordata; Aves; Galliformes; Phasianidae. The record is from RNAcentral.
CUAGACUUCUGAAAGGGAAACCAGUGCACCAGGGUUUCCAGUGCUGUGAUAUGUGACUUAGGAGGAGCAGUUUGCUAAGGUAAAUUAUCCCAAAUGGACUGCUUUAGGAUGUCAGACACUAGCAUUUGUGCUGGCUGUCUAGAUGGGGUGUUAAGAUACCCCUCAAGUCUUCUUCCACCCCCUGCAUGGAGCACAAGCCCUUUCAAGAUUCAGGGCUGAAGACUCAGACUGAACUGUCUAUAAGGCUUUCUACAAGCACGUGAUAUUGCCCAGAAUGCCUUUUGCAUAUCCAGCCCAUCUGCAGUGCAGUUUGCUGCUGAGAGAGGGACAGAACAUAUGGCACUGACCUCAGAUGUGGGCUCCAAUACAGAAGCCAUCUACUCUGAACAUUAAUAACGAAUUUCAGUGACUGGCCUGGCUGGGAACCAGUGCACACCCAACCUCUGCAUGCACGGAGCUCUUGGCACACAGUGAGACAGAAGAAAGAUGGGAGAUAACAUAAGGAUCAGGGUCUCUAAACCAACUGCACUACUCAUGCCGCUGCCAUUAAGGGCCUGUCAGCAUUUUUAUUAGAAACCGCUACUCCAGGGGUUUAUAACUCAGCAGUAAAAAUU